RNAcentral lists this transfer RNA (61 nucleotides) under Ulva lacinulata. RNAcentral's name for it is "tRNA-Ser". Lineage: Eukaryota; Viridiplantae; Chlorophyta; Ulvophyceae; Ulvales; Ulvaceae. The record is from RNAcentral.
AAUUUUGUGGCUGGUUUAUUCAGUUAUUUAUUAGAAGUUGAUAUGGAAUUAAACAAAAUUU